RNAcentral lists this ribosomal RNA (301 nucleotides) under uncultured bacterium. RNAcentral describes it as "partial 16S ribosomal RNA". It matches the Rfam family "Bacterial small subunit ribosomal RNA", at positions 509 to 809 of the family's 1533-position model. The record is from RNAcentral.
CAGUCGCCGCGGGAAUACAGAGGGUGCAAGCGUUAAUCGGAAUUACUGGGCGUAAAGCGCGCGUAGGUGGUUUGUUAAGUUGGAUGUGAAAUCCCCGGGCUCAACCUGGGAACUGCAUCCAGAACUGGCAAGCUAGAGUAUGGUAGAGGGUGGUGGAAUUUCCUGUGUAGCGGUGAAAUGCGUAGAUAUAGGAAGGAACACCAGUGGCGAAGGCGACCACCUGGACUGAUACUGACACUGAGGUGCGAAAGCGUGGGGAGCAAACAGGAUUAGAUACCCCGGUAGUCCCUGUCUCUUAUAA